GACGAACGCUGGCGGCGUGCUUAACACAUGCAAGUCGAACGGAAAGGCCCUGCUUUUGUGGGGUGCUCGAGUGGCGAACGGGUGAGUAACACGUGAGUAACCUGCCCUUGACUUUGGGAUAACUUCAGGAAACUGGGGCUAAUACCGGAUAGGAGCUCCUGCUGCAUGGUGGGGGUUGGAAAGUUUCGGCGGUUGGGGAUGGACUCGCGGCUUAUCAGCUUGUUGGUGGGGUAGUGGCUUACCAAGGCUUUGACGGGUAGCCGGCCUGAGAGGGUAACCGGCCACAUUGGGACUGAGAUACGGCCCAGACUCCUACGGGAGGCAGCAGUGGGGAAUAUUGCACAAUGGGCGGAAGCCUGAUGCAGCAACGCCGCGUGCGGGAUGACGGCCUUCGGGUUGUAAACCGCUUUCGCCUGUGACGAAGCGUGAGUGACGGUAAUGGGUAAAAAAGCACCGGCUAACUACGUG
RNAcentral lists this ribosomal RNA (468 nucleotides) under uncultured bacterium. Its description in RNAcentral is "partial 16S ribosomal RNA". It matches the Rfam family "Bacterial small subunit ribosomal RNA", at positions 28 to 507 of the family's 1533-position model. The record is from RNAcentral.